GUAGGGGGCAAGCGUUGUCCGGAUUUAUUGGGCGUAAAGAGCGUGUAGGCGGCCAGGCAGGUCCGUUGUGAAAACUAGAGGCUUAACCUCUAGACGUCGAUGGAAACCGUCUGGCUAGAGUCCGGAAGAGGAGAGUGGAAUUCCUGGUGUAGCGGUGAAAUGCGCAGAUAUCAGGAAGAACACCCGUGGCGAAGGCGGCUCUCUGGGACGGUACUGACGCUGAGACGCGAAAGCGUGGGGAGCGAACAGGAUUAGAUACCCUGGUAGUCCACGCCGUAAACGAUGGGUGCUAGGUGUGGGAGGUGUCGACUCCUUCCGUGCCGAAGCUAACGCAUUAAGCACCCCGCCUGGGGAGUACGGCCGCAAGGCUAAA
RNAcentral lists this ribosomal RNA (373 nucleotides) under uncultured bacterium. RNAcentral describes it as "bacterial SSU rRNA". It matches the Rfam family "Bacterial small subunit ribosomal RNA", at positions 527 to 898 of the family's 1533-position model. The record is from RNAcentral.